UUACUCCCUCUUUUGCCUUAAAAUCAGUCAUAAUAGAGGCCUAGAGGGAGUAUAUUCUUUGCCCAUUUACCCAAACUUUCCCUCAGAUACUCACAUGUUGAAUUUUUGUAGCUUUCUUACGUUAUCUAGAUACGGCCACUCGUUAGACUCUUGCCGUUUAUCCAUUUGUUUAUCGGGACCCAAUCCUAAAAAUAUCGUGUACAACAAUAAAAGACUAUACGUAAACAUAAUUU
This 233-nucleotide long non-coding RNA is filed under the name Brassica napus (rape). RNAcentral describes it as "long non-coding RNA (BNAP_LNC008496)". The record is from RNAcentral. Lineage: Eukaryota; Viridiplantae; Streptophyta; Magnoliopsida; Brassicales; Brassicaceae.